Long non-coding RNA from Passer domesticus (house sparrow), 4911 nucleotides. RefSeq lists it as uncharacterized. The record is from RefSeq and is a predicted model, not a curated record. The transcript is spliced from 2 exons. Lineage: Eukaryota; Metazoa; Chordata; Aves; Passeriformes; Passeridae.
GAGAGAGGCUUUGCUUCACAAACCCUGUGGCACGCGAUCCUGGUGGUUCAGGAUGACUCUCAGAAGCAGCAAGCCAGGAUGGCAGGAUGUCUCGGCAGGCAGGGGCUGCGGGGCUACAGUGCAGCGACAACUCACUGCAGUGCCGAAGAAGCAGCGGGGGCAGAGCGGUGCUGGCCCUCAGGGAGAGGCGAGCUCAUGAUCCCAGGCACCCAAGCAGAUGGUGAUAGGUCCCUCUCUUAGGGAGGUGGGUGUUAAUAAGGUCCCUGUUCAGUGGCUGCUCUCACAAGCAGAGGCUCACCCCAUGGCAGAAGAAGCAGCUCUAGGCUGGGCUCUAGCGGCAGCAGUGAAUUCCCUUCCCCAGGCAGCAGCUCCAACUAUCCUCCUCCCAAGCCGAGAUAUAUAUAUAUAUAUAUAUAUAUAUAUAUGUAUAUAGAGAGAGAGAGAGAGAGAGAGGAGCUGCUGCCCAGCCCUGUCUUUUAUCAGCCCAGUUCUCCUCUGCCCCUCAGAGAGAAACUCCCAGAUGAGAGAAGUGCAACCAGAUGCCCUGCUCUUCUGAGCUUGGCCACCUCUUUUGUUUUUCUUAAGUACCCAGUCAUUAGUGUUUCCUAGCAACUUACUGGAAAAAUUCUAUAACUAAAAAGGAGCAAAAGGAAAGAAACCUAACCCCCAACAGUUUUACUGCCAGGGUGGUCUAAGAAUAGGAUAAUCUUUGGGCACAAAUUUGUUGCAGCCUAGUGGAAGACAACAGUCCUUGAAAAGAUCAAGGAAAUGGUAACCAGAUAUAUAACAAGUUUCACUUAGGCUGUACUAUGAUUUGAUUGGUGGUACCUGCCAUGAGAGAGUAAUGAAUAAUGAGAGAGCAAGAAUAUUUUGAAACAGACUACAGUGGCAUCCACAAUUGUGGACUCCUUCUUCCUUUCAUCCUCUCCUGAAAAGGUCAAUCAAUGGGCUAUUCAGAAAUACUUAAGUCAUUGCUGCGACAGGCUGAUUAACCUACAAUAAGAUUUAAAUAAUUGCUGCCAUAAAUAAAACUUUUUGAUUGAUUAUUUGGCAUCAUUUCACCAUAAUUCAGCUCAAGGGUAUCCCAAAUGUACUUCUGAGUAGGCAGUUGGUGACUGCCCUCUAGGAUCCAACAUUUUGUGGCCAUCCCAGACCAGGUAGCCAGGACUGCCCUCUUGGGACCUGACACCUUGCAUAUAUAAAAAAGCACUGGGUAUAUUUUAUGUAGUCUAAUGUUUAGGUUUUCUUCACUGAGCAUGAAGAAAUACAGAUGUACAAUGGGCAGAUGGAAAACCAGCUUGUGUCUGCCCCUACGAGCAAAGCUUUUCCUACAGAUCUUGCUUACCUAUGGUUUUGGGAUGGGAAAGGCAUACAAGACCACAGGAAAUUAUCUAUAUAAGCAUUAACUGUGUUAAUGCUUACAUAGAUAAUUUGGUUAAAUGUUAUGCCAACUAACCCACACUUAAGAGACUACUCUAAGGGGACCACAUCAUUGGGGCAAUCCUCAUACUGUUGCAAACCAUCAUUGCAGAUAGGGCUCUACAGCAGCAUUUCCCAAAAGUUCCUCUUUUUUCAUGCUUUCUAUAACACCAGACCUGCACAUUUCAGCCUUUUUUCCGUAUGCAUUUUUCAAGCACCAAGUACAGUCUUUCAAGGCGAUUUACAAGAUGACAGCUGAAACCAGAGUUUCAUGAUGUACAUUUUCAUAUCCAUUUUCAAAGAGACCUGUGAGGGGCUGUUGUUUAAACAUUUAGCUUCCAUGUUCUGACAUCUCAAUAUCCUGAUAAUUGAACCAUUUUAAAAUUAAGUAGUGUUUGGUCUUCAAAGUUUGUGUUCAUAAUCUGUGGCCUUCCUUUUUUCCCCCAAGGCUUUAUCUGAUAAGAUCCAGACCCUGGAUUCUCUAUGUCUUGAGUCUGAAGCAUUGCAAUUUGUUUCCUUUUGCAGCUGAAGAUAAUGUAGUGGUCUCUACACCAUUUUCAUCCCAGCUUUCUUUCUCUUAGCUUUUAUCUUACCUGUAAAGCCAUGGGGCAAAUUCAGCAGUUACUAGAUUCUGGCAAAGUUGUACUGGUGGGCACUUAAAGUCAGUGACAUUUUGGAUAGACAUUUUCCUUUACUCAGUUUAUGAAAAAAAAAAAUCAGUUGAAGAGAAAGCAGAAUUAAAUAGGUUUGAAAUGUGUAAUGUGCUGAAGGUGACCUUGGGAAAUAGCAUACUUGUAGUCUGUAGAUUAGACUUCACAUCUCAUUACAAGAAAGUAAAGAGAACAUGUGAUUUAAUUGCAGUCACGUUUAUUUGCAGUUUCUAUACACACUUUCUAGGUAAUCAAACUUUUCCAACACAUUUUUUGAGAGGGGUUCACAAUGAAACUGUCACUGUUUUUACUAAAAAUAAAUACAAGACUUAAAGUGUUGCACAGCUCUAAAAUAUACAAAGGCUUGGAUUUAAUGUAAACUUUGAAAACAUUUUACAAAAGAAACCAUAUUUGCAACAAUUUAAAAAGUUUGUAUUUACAAAUAUUACAAAAAUACAAAAUGGAUGCAAGUCCAUAAACCAUUGUCUUUUCUGCCAGCAUGAACUGGUGCUAGUACCAAAAUAGUUACACUGUAACCUUCUUAAAUUUUUUAAAAUUCUUUAAGUCAUAACCUACAGUAUUUCUCUAUCUGCCACCAUUGCAGCAAAUGCACUCAUCACUGACCUUUGGCAAAAGCAAACAUAUGCUUUAUUUGCUACUACUAUCCCUUGCCCUCUAUGCUGCCACAACAAAAACAGAAAGGCAAAAAAAAAAAAGAAGAAAAAAAACAAAGAAGAAAAGGGGAAAAUAUUAUUUUUCAGAACACAGCUGUAUAACUUAAGAAAUAAUUCUCGUAAUAUCAGUGCAAGCAACAGAACAGUAGGUUGAAAUGACGGUUCAGCAGUUACCUGAUGCACAUACUGUACCCUGUCUCAAGAGGUGAGUGAUGUUCCCUUCGCUCUAUGGCCUGUCCUCUGGUGCCUUAAUGGCACACUUGGAAUGCUGCAGGUCUCCCUGCCAUUCAUCCUCCUCUGACUCCCACGUUUAUUCUCAACUCUUUUGUUCACAGAGAAUUUAGAAUCUCUCUGUUUGGGUUUCAGUCUGCUAAAUGUAAAUUAGAAAAUUAAGCAAAAGGAGACUGUACUCCAAUGGGAUUGUUUUGUGUUUGUUCUGUAUGUGAAUUAUUGCCUCAUUAUUCUGGUAAAAAAAACCCCUAGUGUAUACAUAUUUAUUUAGGGUGUCUAUGAAGUUAUUGAUUGGUAAUAAACAAUGGUAUCAUCAAAGUCAAUUCAGCUAUAUUCUCUUUAGUGUUUCAAAUGACUGUUUAACUCAGGACUAUUAAACAUUUUGUAAAAGUGCUCCUGGUAAAAUUUUUGUGGAAAAUGACUGAAGAUGACAAACUAAGGACUUUCUGCCCAUUAUCUAAACUAGCUUUUGUCAUAUUCUCCAGAAGGUGGUUUGUUAUAUGCUAAACAUUUCAUUCUAAAACAUUCUCAUUCAUUCACUUCACUUGUGUUCAGACUUAUUUUCCUACCUAAGCUGCUAAUGUGAUUAGCCUUUUGUUUCCAAACCCUUUCUCCCAUUACUUUUUAAAAACUAUUUUAGACGAUUUUGCAGCCCUUCAACUGAUGGAUCAUCCCUCAUCCCAACACACCUAUCAGAUGCACAGUGACUCUGCCACAUCAACUGAGUGCAACCAGGCUACACAGGAGGACAGUAGGAAACUGAAUAAUACAUGUCUUGUGGUAAUCACUAGACAAAAUCAGAUGUGGGUCUUCUGGUGAGUAACAUUUUGGAUAUGAUAAACUGUUCUGAUUUGCUUUGACUACUUGAAAUUGUAACAGUUUUAGAUAGAACCUUCCUCUUUAAAACAUGAUCUACCUUCUUUUAAUAACUCUCUCUUUAUGCAUUACCUGAUUAAAAGAAAAAAAAACAAACCAAAAACUGAAUUCACACAUCCUGCCUCCAGUCCUUUACUUCUGCUUAAAGCCAGCUUUUAGCCAAUUCCUUUAUACCAAAGAAUGCUCUUUCUGCCAUCCUACUUGAGCUGUCCUACUGCAUACUCCAUUCCUCCUUCACUAUUUUCUCUGCACUAACCUCUCCUCUUUUCCUAACCAUAUACUACAGCAACCAUUGCCAACUGCAUGAGUUUUGGAUAAAGAGGGCCCUGUCCUGUAAGUAGCACAGAUGGGGCUACAUCAGUGGAAAUUGUGAUGGCCCGAAGGAGAAUCAGGUCUGUUGAUUUUAUUCUGUUUUAUAAAAAUUAAAAGUUUAAAGCAACUCAUGGGUUCUUGUGGUUUUAAGAUGAGAAUAGUCAAGUAACUUCAAGUAAUUCAGCUUUUAUCUCCCUGCCUUCAUUUGUAUCAAAGCAGCUACUUUGAUUUGUCUCCUUUCCCACCCCAACCCAGUCCCUCACCCUGUUCUGUGUUUCUGGUAAAUCCAGACAAGAUCCCUACUGUACGUGGCUGGCACAAUGAACUGGAGCUUUCCCCUUCUCAGCUCAGCAAUGAAUAUAAAUAAUGCAUACACAUACCUAUUUCCCAGCUACGUUUUCACAGUGUCAUUUUUGUAAAUAUUUAGGUAGCAUGAAUCUCAUCAGCACAAAGAGAAAGCUUCACUGAAAACUCGUUGCAGAUAUUUACUGGGAAGCACUACAGUGAGGGAUUUGUUUCUAGAUGGGCAGCUCCUGGGAAAAAACCCACCCAAAGUCACCUUUAACUCUAUGGAAAGUGAAUAGCCUUGAAAUCUACAGUGACAAUGGAAAUGAGAGUGGCAUAAACCAAAUGAAGCCAAAAGAAAACAGAACAGGCAUAGCAUAUCUUCAUCCUUUUAGAAAAUGUAGUGUAAUAAAUAGCUACAGCUGUAGUCCUUUUGUUUCCCCAGCGUCUUCCAAAUGCAAACA